Molecule: ribosomal RNA, 445 nt
Filed under: uncultured bacterium
Lineage: Bacteria
Description: bacterial SSU rRNA
Rfam family: Bacterial small subunit ribosomal RNA
Source: RNAcentral
ACUCCUACGGGAGGCAGCAGUGGGGAAUAUUGGACAAUGGGCGAAAGCCUGAUCCAGCCAUGCCGCGUGUGUGAAGAAGGUCUUCGGAUUGUAAAGCACUUUAAGUUGGGUAGGAAGGGCAGUUACCUAAUACGUAAUUGUUUUGACGUUACCGACAGAAUAAGCACCGGCUAACUCUGUGCCAGCAGCCGCGGUAAUACAGAGGGGUGCAAGCGUUAAUCGGAAUUACUGGGCGUAAAGCGCGCGUAGGUGGUUUGUUAAGUUGGAUGUGAAAUCCCCGGGGCUCAACCUGGGAACUGCAUUCAAAACUGACUGACUAGAGUAUGGUAGAGGGUGGUGGAAUUUCCUGUGUAGCGGUGAAAUGCGUAGAUAUAGGAAGGAACACCAGUGGCGAAGGCGACCACCUGGACUAAUACUGACACUGAGGUGCGAAAGCGUGGGGAGC